UAAUUGGACUAAGGUAUGAGGAUUUAUCAUGGGACUUUGCCAAACCUAGUGUAAAUAAUGAUCCUGACUGCCAAACUUGCAUAUUUAUUCAAUUUGAUGCAAUGGAGAAUGGAAUUCAGGUUUCAAAGUUAAUGCAAAUAUUCUCCAAACAAGCUAGUAUGAUAGACGCCCUUAUCUCACAUUUUA
Molecule: long non-coding RNA, 186 nt
Organism: Bactrocera latifrons
Lineage: Eukaryota; Metazoa; Arthropoda; Insecta; Diptera; Tephritidae
Exons: 2
Source: RefSeq, a predicted model, not a curated record